Molecule: transfer RNA, 88 nt
Filed under: Nitrospiraceae bacterium
Lineage: Bacteria; Pseudomonadati; Nitrospirota; Nitrospiria; Nitrospirales; Nitrospiraceae
Also listed under: 1 other name
Description: tRNA-Ser
Rfam family: tRNA
About the family: Transfer RNA (tRNA) molecules are approximately 80 nucleotides in length. Their secondary structure includes four short double-helical elements and three loops (D, anti-codon, and T loops).
Source: RNAcentral
GGAGAGGUGCGAGAGUGGCCGAAUCGGGCGGUCUCGAAAACCGUUGUCCCGUAAGGGACCGUGGGUUCGAAUCCCACCCUCUCCGCCA